CUCCCAGGUGUAUAUAGACACAGAAGGCACAAUAUGUCUAGAGGAAGAGGCCGAGGAGGAAGAGGGCGCCCAUGACAUACAGAGUAAAACAUCUAAACCUGAUGAUAAUUUCAACGCUGUAAAUGACAAUGAUGAGGAAGACGAUGUGUUGAUGUAUGAAGUGGCCAAACAGCUUGACUUGGUAGAAACAAUAUUCACUGAAGAUAUUCGAAAAGUGGAGGACAUUGAAUUGUCCGGUGAGACCAGAAAUGUCAACAUCUUGUCAAGUGCUCAUAUCUGUACAGCAGUGUUACGACUUCUAUAAAUGGUGCGGUGGAGGAGUCAAACGCAGAGAGCAGCAGCUCAUAUCUCUCAGAGAGUCACUGAUGUCACCCAGCCCAUCAGGGCUCAAAGGCCCCAAUUACCAAACAUAAAGCAAAUUCCACACAUCCUCUCUCUCUCUUUCCCUCUGUUCUGAGUCUCCAUUCCCUCUCUCUCUCUUUCCCUCUGUUAUGACUCAUUACCCUCCCUCUCUCUCUUUCAAUCUGUUCUGACUCUCUACUCUCCUCUGUGAUAUCUAAGUUUUUUUUAAAUAAAAAUGUUCACACAAAGUGAACUGUUUUUGCUUUGUAAUUCUGGGUUAUUGUGGGUUAUUGUGUGUAGAUUAAUGAGGGGGAAACACAUUUAAUCCAUUUUAGAAUAAGUCUGUAAUGUGACAAAAUGUGUAAAAAGUCAAGGGUCUGAAUACUUUCUGAAUGUUACUGUAUAUCAGUAUAUUAGACUCUCUCUCUCUCUCUCUCUCUCUCUCUCUCUCACUGUAUAUCAGUAUAUUAGACUCUCUCUCUCUCUCUCUCGAUGCAGUGAUGUUGUUUUCAUCACUUCUGGUUUAACACACCAUCAAGUGGUGAUUGUCCAAACUGCACCACUGUUACGAUAGAGAAAGUGAGAGAUAGAGAGAGAAGAAAGUGUGGGAGAGAGGCAGAGUGUGGGAGAGAGAGCAGAGUGAGAGAGAAGAAAGUGUGGGAGAGAGAGAGCAGAGUGUGGGAGAGAGAGCAGAGUGAGAGAGAGCAGAGAGAGAGAGCAGAGAGAGAGAGAGCAGACUGUGGGAGAGAGAGAGAGCAGAGAGUGUGGGAGAGAGAGAGAGAGCAGAGAGUGUGGGAGAGAGAGAGAGCAGAGAGAGAGCAGAGAGUAUGGGAGAGAGAGCAGAGAGAGCUGAGAGUGUGGGAGAGAGAGAGAGCAGAGAGAUUGCAGAGAUUGUGGGAGAGAGAGAGAGAGCAGAGAGUGUGGGAGAGAGAGAGCAGAGAGAGAGAGCAGAGAGUGUGGGAGAGAGAGAGCAGAGAGAUUGCAGAGAUUGUGGGAGAGAGAGAGAGAGAGCAGAGUGUGUACAAACACACCCUACAGAGCCCCAGGACAACAGCACAAUUAGACCCAACCAAAUCAUGAGAAAACAAAAAGAUAAUUACUUAACACAUUGGAAAGAAUUAACAAAAAAACAGAGCAAACUAGAAUGCUAUUUGGCCGUACACAGAGAGUACACAGCGGCAGAAUACCUGACCACUGUGACUGACCCAAAAUUAAGGAAAGCUUUGACUAUGUACAGACUCAGUGAGCAUAGCCUUGCUAUUGAGAAAGGCCGCCGUAGGCAGACAUGGCUCUCAAGAGAAGACAGGCUAUGUGCUCACUGCCCACAAAAUGAGGUGGAAACUGACCUGCACUUCCUAACCUCCUGCCCAAUGUAUGACCAUAUUAGAGAGACAUAUUUCCCCAGAUCACACAGAUCCACAAAGAAUUCGAAAACAUAUCCAAUUUUGAAAAACUCCCAUAUCUACUGGGUGAAAUUCCACAGUGUGCCAUCACAGCAGCAAGAUUUGUGACCUGUUGCCACGAGAAAGGGCAACCAGUGAAGAACAAACACCAU
Oncorhynchus keta (chum salmon) is the source of this 1897-nucleotide long non-coding RNA. RefSeq lists it as uncharacterized. The record is from RefSeq and is a predicted model, not a curated record. NCBI's taxonomy places the organism in Eukaryota, Metazoa, Chordata, Actinopteri, Salmoniformes, Salmonidae. The transcript is spliced from 3 exons.